Long non-coding RNA from Lolium perenne, 712 nucleotides. RefSeq lists it as uncharacterized. NCBI's taxonomy places the organism in Eukaryota, Viridiplantae, Streptophyta, Magnoliopsida, Poales, Poaceae. The record is from RefSeq and is a predicted model, not a curated record.
UUUCUGCUCCGCCUGCGCGGCCGUUACUCCUCCGCCGUGCGACCCCUGCUAUUCCCCCCCCGCCCCCAAAUUCCCCUCCGUCUGCGCCGCCCUUCUUCCUACGCGUGCGACGCCGGCUCCCUCACCAGGUUCUCAGGGGUACUCGCUGGUUUAGAUUUAUCUGCUAGUGCGGACACCGCAGAUGAUCUGAGAGAAUACGGUGGCGGCUGCUCCCUUCUCCUCGCGGGUUCGCUUCUCCCAUCUGAGGAACGCGUCAGCCUCCAUGGGACAAAUCGACAAGAAGGACGUGGGGGUCGAGACGUGGAGUGCGUGCAAGAUCAGUCACCAGGGCCUGUUUAUCUCAGCAGCGAUGGCGCGCCAACGGCAGGCGGUGGGGAUGAUUUUUUCACAGCAGUUAAGGUCGCCGGGGUGGCCGCAGUGCCACCACUUGAACUGUCCGUCCUGUAAACAAAAGCAGCAUUGCAACAACGAUGACGAACCUCAAGAUCUCCAUAUUCCCUGGAUCAAAUAUUGUCUAGAGGUGUUCCCUGGAUCGACAGCUUCAGCUGAAGUAAAACUUCUGCCUCUCCAUGUUGUAUAGCGUUAGGUUCAAUUCUUCUCUGAACUGUUUUUGUUUUUGCUCAGUGUUUUUCUGCCUGUAAGUUCAGAGUUCCAUACUCUGCCCAUUUCUUCUACUAUCAAUGAAAGCAGUGCCUACUGCCUUUCAUCAAAA